GGCCUGGGCCUCCAGGCUGCGCAGCGCAGCCGCUAUCGGGGGAGUGCAGUUUUUGCCAAGUAGCUACUGAAAAUUACCAAGGAGAGGUAGGAGGUAAGAGAUGCCUAUAAAGGAGCUGAAAUCUACCAGGUCACAAUGAUUUGUAUGACAGAUGCUAGCCCAAGAGAGAGUUCCAGAAGAGGGCUACCUAACAGGUGCUGUGGCAUUUAGAAGAGGAAUGGAGCCACUGUCUACGCACAGCUUGCAGGGGAACAGGAGAGUCAGCCUGAGAAGGAAAUGUGAUGAUGGAAACAGAGGUUGGAAGAUGGAAGGGGACCCAGAGCCAAGGAAUACAGGUAGAAAAGAAAAGCCUGGAUUCUCCCCUAAAGCCUCCAGAUGGAACACAGCCCUGCCUCCAACUUGAUUUGAGAACUUCUUACCCCAAGAACCGUGUCUGUCUUCAUCCUAAGGAGUCAACUGCUGUACCUUAAUGAUUUCAAUGUAAUUGUUUGGUUUGUAAGUCUUUCUUGCCACUGUGGUUCUGGGGCCAUUGUUCUGCAACAAUGAAUAAACAAUGUUUUAGAAAUCACUCAUCCAAGAAAGGUGACAAGAUACUGGAAUAGAGGUAUUUGAAAAAUAUUCAUGGGAAUUUUAGAGGAUUGUAGAUGGUCUGAGUACCUGUGAAGACAUCAUCUAAUGUAUCUAAAAACCGCAUAAUGCUUCAUCUCAAUGUAUUUUAAGAAUUAAUUUUGUUAUAAGCUAGAAUUUUUCAUUUUGGUUUUAAUAAUAACAUCACAAGGUUUUUUAACAUAAAUUAGAAAGGGCAUACAUGGAGAAGUAAAGAAAAAUUCUUGGGAUUAGCCAAAAAUUAGUGAGAGAUUACAUAUUUCCUUAGAUGAAAAAUCCUACAGGCAAACUUUUAAUGUCAGGGAGAGGAAUACUUUAUUACCUAAUAUAAUGUAAAUGAAAAGAAUAGUUAAGCAUUCUUUUUUAAAGCAGUAUACAGAAAUGAGAGAAAGGAUAAGAGGUUAACUCAUUUCUAUUUUGAACUCUAUUUUUUUAAAACCCUUGCUCCAAAUUUUACUUACUAUCUUUUAAAUGUCAUCCUACUAGAGUGUAAGUCUUUAGUUUUAGUUGCUUAAUAAAAAUUCAGUUUUUGUGACAAAAGGCA
RNAcentral lists this non-coding RNA (1150 nucleotides) under Pongo abelii (Sumatran orangutan). Lineage: Eukaryota; Metazoa; Chordata; Mammalia; Primates; Hominidae. The record is from RNAcentral.